AUACUUACCUGGCAGGGGAGAUACCAUGAUCAGGAAGGUGGUUUUCCCAGGGCGAGGCUUAUCCAUUGCACUCGGGAUGUGCUGACCCCUGCGAUUUCCCCAAAUGUGGGAAACUCGACUGCAUAAUUUGUGGUAGUGGGGGACUGCGUUCGCACUUUCCCCUG
This is a small nuclear RNA of 164 nucleotides. Its record names the gene U1. It matches the Rfam family "U1 spliceosomal RNA". Rfam says of the family: U1 is a small nuclear RNA (snRNA) component of the spliceosome (involved in pre-mRNA splicing). Its 5' end forms complementary base pairs with the 5' splice junction, thus defining the 5' donor site of an intron. There are significant differences in sequence and secondary structure between metazoan and yeast U1 snRNAs, the latter being much longer (568 nucleotides as compared to 164 nucleotides in human). The record is from Ensembl.